AUGAGAGUUGACACUGAGUGGGCCUUCUUCACAAUACCUGCUUUUGACUGGUUGGUUCGAGUUGCAGUCUUCUUAAGCCAAUAUCCAACACCAUCACUCAAGUCAAACAGUAAAUGCAGCCGACAAUCUGUGGACCUGGGUGAUUGUAUAUUGUGCUGUCAUGCCUGUGGCAUCAUCAAUAGCAGCUCUCAACAUGGAGCCCCUUUAAACAGGAUAAAAAUGACAAAGAUAACUAUAGUUAAAAAGUGGAGCAAGAAAAAAUGGAAUGAAGUUGGAGUAACUGCAUGCCUUGAAUUGGGCCACAAAUCUGGCCUGGAGCUUCCUAGCAGCCCAUUUUGUCGUGGACAGUCUUUGCCCUAUUUGUUCCAAACUAACCUACUGUGGUGCUGAGUGUUUUCGAGGACUCCUGGUUCCUGUGUUACAAGGGCCAAGAAGCUUGAUCAGACUGCAGGUUGCUGUAGAAUGUUCCAUAUUCUCUGAGGGCCCAGGAGGCUGAGUGGCGUGACCUUGCCUUCUUCACUUCUUUUUUUUUUUUUUUCCCUUCUUCACUUCUGAGAGUGUCUGAGAGUGUGAAUGUCUCUUGGGUGGGUGAGGGGUCCUGGAUUGGAGCCAGAGGCUUUAAAAGACCUAAGAGAAAGAUGGAUGUGACUGUGUGCCUGAGGUGUAGUGAUCCACACUUGAAGCAGUAGAGGCACUGUUGCAGUUAUGAAGAGAUAAAUUAUAUCAAAAGAAAACCAUGCAGGGUUGUAUCAAUGUUUAAAAAAUUAAAGAAAAAAACAGAAAUGGAAAAAAUGAGGCUCUUUUUAUGAAAACCAGCUGAAAAAUGGUACUUUGAGAAUUGAGUUCUGAGAAUCUGCUCCAUUUCUCAUUCUCUUCUUUCCUUUCUUCCUUCAUCUCCUCCAUUGUCUUGAUUGGCUACCAUUGUGAGAAAAUGCAGGUUGC
Molecule: long non-coding RNA, 942 nt
Filed under: Vulpes vulpes (red fox)
Lineage: Eukaryota; Metazoa; Chordata; Mammalia; Carnivora; Canidae
Description: lncRNA (ENSVVUG00000021156.1)
Source: RNAcentral